UUACAACAAAACGGACAGUGUUUGUCUUCUAUGUAAUAGUCAUACAGACCCAAGUGACAUUCUACAGCACGUAUCGGAGCAUGGACGUUGGAUCAAGUUCCGCUGCAAGUGGCCAGAGUGUACAUACAAGGCGUACAACAGAGUCGAAUUAAUUCUGCACGUCACGAAAGAGCACAAAUUCAAAAAUGGAGAAGUUGCUCAUGAUUUUGUCGACCUGAUCUCAAGAGAAGACUGGAAGUUUGUUGUCGCAACGUCAGCCAAUAAUGGCAGUGUCCUACUAGGGAAAGUAACUGAACUUAAUGAUAGACUUAACGGAAAAGAAAGAAUUAAUGGAUCUGGACCACUUUUGAAAAUAUUCUCCAAGUGGCAAGAGAUGUAGAAAAUUCCGUUCCAUCCAAAGAAAAUAUAGAAGAAUCAACAGAGUCAGAUACCAAACCAGAAUGUAUAGAUCUUGAUAGCUCCAUGAGUGAUAGUGACAUAAUUGAUGUCAGCAGUUCGGAGGAAGAAAUUUUAAAGGCUUUCCUUGUAGUCAACAGUCCUAUGAGCCGGAAAAUACAAGCUCUGAAAGAGCUCGUGUUAUUAAUACAGAAUGUGUCAGUCCUAGCGAAGAUCAAAGUGCAGGUGAAGGAGUCCGUAAUACAAAUGAAUUAAUUUCAAGAUCUAGCUGCUUAGCUUCAGAUUUAAACAUGGAUGAUGAAGUCAAAUCGCCCAAGAGAACAAAAGAUUUAAGUGAAGGAUUACUUUGUGAACCGUCCUCAAAUACAGAAGUAACUCUUGAGGAGCAUGUGGAACCAAAUAUGGAACCAUCCAAAUCUCCCGUAAACACUGAAGCAUCAAUUACGUCCCGUCUGCUUGAUGAACCAUUGUCACCAGAAGCUCCGUCUAGUCCAGUGUCGAUUGCUGAAUCACUGGAAAUGGCUGACUCUCCCGAAACAUCUGUGAAUCCAAGCACAAAAUCGCCAGUUGACUCACCUUCACCAGAUUCAGAUGAAAGAACCCUUGCUAGUCCUGUUACAUAUACAAUCUGUGAUAUUUCAGGGAUGACAGAUGAUGAUGAUGAAGAUGAUUCUGUGGACGAAUCUCAGUGCGAUGAUACAGCAGAUGCUGACCCAUCGUCUUCUGCUUACGGUAAGUCUGGAAUGGACGUGGAAAUGGAUGACGACCACCUUCGAGCUGUUAUGAUGGAGAUGAUCUUUGGCCAAUCAAGUGAAAGUCCUACCUCUUCCCAUAAAUUCAACGUUGAAAGUCAUAGCACCAGUAAAAAACGGAAACUCCUCGACACAGAACUUAAUGUUUAG
This 1298-nucleotide long non-coding RNA is filed under the name Bemisia tabaci. Its description in RNAcentral is "lncRNA ENSSSA2NGG013255". Lineage: Eukaryota; Metazoa; Arthropoda; Insecta; Hemiptera; Aleyrodidae. The record is from RNAcentral.